RNAcentral lists this ribosomal RNA (480 nucleotides) under uncultured bacterium. RNAcentral describes it as "bacterial SSU rRNA". It matches the Rfam family "Bacterial small subunit ribosomal RNA", at positions 47 to 507 of the family's 1533-position model. The record is from RNAcentral.
CUUAAUACAUGCAAGUCGUACGAGAAAGCUCGGCUUCGGUUGGGCGAGUAAAGUGGCGAACGGGUGAGUAACACGUGGACAACCUGCCCUUGAGUUCGGGAUAAUCCCUCGAAACGGGGGUCUAAUACCGGAUAAUAUCUCUUCCUGGCAUCAGGAUGAGGUCAAAGGCGGAGCAAUCUGUCGCUUGGGGAUGGGUCCGCGCUCCAUUAGCUUGAUGGUAGGGUAAAGGCCUACCAUGGCUCCGAUGGAUAGCCGGCCUGAGAGGGUGAUCGGCCACACUGGGACUGAGAUACGGCCCAGACUCCUACGGGAGGCAGCAGUAGGGAAUAUUGCGCAAUGGACGCAAGUCUGACGCAGCAACGCCGCGUGGGUGAUGAAGCUUCUUGGAGUGUAAAACCCUGUCAGAGGGGAAGAACCGCAUGGGUAGUAACUGACUCAUGCCUGACGGUACCCUCAGAGGAAGUCCCGGCUAACUCCGUG